GACAGAGGUGCCGAGCGUUAGGCGGAAUCACUGGGCUUAAAGCGUGUGUAGGCGGGUCGUUAAGUGCCUUGUGAAAUCCCACAGCUCACCUGUGGAACUGCUUGGCAUACUGGCGGUCUUGAGCCACUUAGGGGCAACCGGAACAAACGGUGGAGCGGUGAAAUGCGUAGAUAUCUGGAGGAAUACCGGUGGCGAAGGCGGCAUCCUGGACCGGCAUUGACGCUGAGGAGCGAAAGCUAGGGGAGCAAACGGG
Molecule: ribosomal RNA, 253 nt
Filed under: uncultured bacterium
Lineage: Bacteria
Description: partial 16S ribosomal RNA
Rfam family: Bacterial small subunit ribosomal RNA
Source: RNAcentral